This 1215-nucleotide ribosomal RNA is filed under the name Triticum aestivum (bread wheat). RNAcentral's name for it is "partial small subunit ribosomal RNA". Lineage: Eukaryota; Viridiplantae; Streptophyta; Magnoliopsida; Poales; Poaceae. The record is from RNAcentral.
AUGUCGUCGACGUUCGCCGGUGUAUCCGUCCUGGCCGGCGGCGAGCUGUGCCCUUCCACCGAGUCGCCCGUCGUCACCAGCACGGACUGCGGGUACCACCUGCUUGUGGUCCAGGACUACUCGCUGACCAAGCGAGCGACACCCACCGGCAUGAGCAUCUGCUCUCGCCCUUUCAUGGUGGGACGCCAUGAGUGGUGCAUCGAGUACUAUCCUAACGGUCAGAAGAAGAGCUGUGCCGACUUCAUUUCUCUAUAUGUUAACCUUCUCAACGACGACGACGAUGCCAAAGAGCGUGUGAAGGCGAAGUUCGAGUUCAGUUUCAUCGACGAGGCGGAGAAGCACAAGCCGAUGUACAUUUCUGGAACCGAGACACUCAGCUUCCGCGGCGAGUGUCUGCGGGGCUACGGCAAGUUCAUGAGAAAAGAUGUCCUUGAACAAUCAGCGAAUCUGAUGGAUGAUUGUUUCACCGUCCGGUGUGACAUCAUGGUCUGCGACACACAGGAUGCCGGUCGCAACAAGGUGCUCCUGUCUGAAAUAGACCAGCAUUUAAACAAUCUCCUUCAGACUAAGGUGGGUGCUGAUGUCACAUUCGAGGUCAGCGGCGAGAUGUUCGCUGCACACCGAUGUGUGCUUGCAGCCCGUUCUAAAGUAUUCAUGGCACAAUUCUUCGGCCCCAUGAAGGAGGGCACUGCUGCAUCAAGUGCCAUCCAGAUCAAAGACAUGGAAGCAAAAGUGUUCAAGGCUUUGCUUAGCUUCAUCUACACGGACUCACUCCCUCUAUUGGAGGACGACGACAUGGAGGAGGAUGAAGGAGAGGCCGUGGAAGAAGGACAAGAAGAGGAAGCAGCAGAGGAUGAAAUGGCAGAAGUUGCGGAACAAGGAGAAGGAGAGGAUGCAGCAGAGGAUGAAACGGAGCUGCAAUGGCUACAAGAUUUGCUUGUAGCUGCAGACAGAUAUGAUCUCCAACGGCUCAGGUUUAUCUGUGAAAAGCGAUUGUCUGAGCGCAUAGGUGUGACCUCAGUGGCAUCCACUCUUACUCUAGCUGAGCAGCUCCACUGCCGCGGAUUGAAGGAGGCGUGCUUGAAGUUUAUCCAAGUCCAAUCUCCCUUGUGUUUGCAAAAAGUAAUGGCGACUGAUGGCUGGGAGCCGUUAAUUAUGACCUACCCCUCUGUUUUGAACGAGCUCAUUGCCAAACUUGCUUCAAACCAGAAGUAA